This 67-nucleotide transfer RNA is filed under the name Marmota monax (woodchuck). RNAcentral's name for it is "tRNA.Ala". Lineage: Eukaryota; Metazoa; Chordata; Mammalia; Rodentia; Sciuridae. The record is from RNAcentral.
GGUUGUGGCUCAGUGGUAGAAUGCUUGCCUAGCAUGUGUGAGGUACUGGGUUCAAUUCUCAGCACCA